Molecule: ribosomal RNA, 557 nt
Filed under: Novosphingobium sp. HRTP032
Lineage: Bacteria; Pseudomonadati; Pseudomonadota; Alphaproteobacteria; Sphingomonadales; Sphingomonadaceae
Also listed under: 3 other names
Description: bacterial SSU rRNA
Rfam family: Bacterial small subunit ribosomal RNA
Source: RNAcentral
ACGGGUGCGUAACGCGUGGGAAUCUGCCCUUGGGUUCGGAAUAACAGUGAGAAAUUACUGCUAAUACCGGAUGAUGUCUUCGGACCAAAGAUUUAUCGCCCAGGGAUGAGCCCGCGUAGGAUUAGCUAGUUGGUGGGGUAAUGGCCUACCAAGGCGACGAUCCUUAGCUGGUCUGAGAGGAUGAUCAGCCACACUGGGACUGAGACACGGCCCAGACUCCUACGGGAGGCAGCAGUGGGGAAUAUUGGACAAUGGGCGAAAGCCUGAUCCAGCAAUGCCGCGUGAGUGAUGAAGGCCUUAGGGUUGUAAAGCUCUUUUACCCGGGAUGAUAAUGACAGUACCGGGAGAAUAAGCUCCGGCUAACUCCGUGCCAGCAGCCGCGGUAAUACGGAGGGAGCUAGCGUUGUUCGGAAUUACUGGGCGUAAAGCGCGCGUAGGCGGCUGCUCAAGUCAGAGGUGAAAGCCCGGGGCUCAACCCCGGAACUGCCUUUGAAACUAGGUAGCUAGAAUCUUGGAGAGGUCAGUGGAAUUCCGAGUGUAGAGGUGAAAUUCGUAGA